Molecule: long non-coding RNA, 550 nt
Filed under: Homo sapiens (human)
Lineage: Eukaryota; Metazoa; Chordata; Mammalia; Primates; Hominidae
Description: HSALNT0323835
Source: RNAcentral
UCCGCUCGCCCCGGGAGGGAGCCCGCGGCCAGGGCUGGACUCUCGCCCCGCCACCUCCACCGACUCUCUCCUCAGCCUCCGCGCCUGGCACCGCAGCAAGACUUGAAUGAAGUGAUCAUGUAAACUAGAGAAAGGAGAUUAAAAAUAACCUCUGGAUAUUCCUCUCAUGUGAUCUUUAUUCUGGAUGAAGCAUUAGGACAGCUAAUAGCCGUGUGUCACUGCAAUUUGCUGCCAGAAGUGUGUUUUCCUUUUUAAAAGAAAAUCAAACUACCUGUAGCUACUUGGGGAAUGAUGAAGAAAUAGAGAAGUCUUUGUGGGGUUUCAGGAGCCAUUUGAUUCAAGUAAGUCGGUGAGUAGCCUGCCCGACCGGAGGAAGCCAGACUGACCCAUAAUGACUCCAACCAUCCAACAAGUGUGGAUUGACCGCCUACUGUGUUCAGUGUGACAUGGAGGGGAGAUGAAUUUUUAAGAUGAGAGAGGAGGCCGGGCGCGGUGGCUCACGCCUGUAAUCCCAGCACUUUGGGAGGCCGAGGCGGGCGGAUCAUGAGGU